This 259-nucleotide unclassified non-coding RNA is filed under the name Hevea brasiliensis (rubber tree). The record is from RNAcentral. Lineage: Eukaryota; Viridiplantae; Streptophyta; Magnoliopsida; Malpighiales; Euphorbiaceae.
AGAACCUCAUGAAGGCCGCUUAUGAUCCUCGAAUCUCUGGUGUUUAUCUCCACAUUGAACCUUUAGGUUGUGGCUGGGGCAAAGUUGAAGAAAUUCGGAGGCAUAUACUGGACUUCAGGAAAUCAGGUAAAUUCAUAGUUGGCUAUGCACCUGCUUGUGGUGAAAAGGAGUACUACAUUGGCUGCGCUUGUCAAGAGCUUUAUGUCCCUCCAAGUGCUUACUUUGCGUUGUAUGGUUUAACAGUUCAAGCAUCAUUUUU